This 487-nucleotide ribosomal RNA is filed under the name Enterobacter hormaechei. RNAcentral describes it as "bacterial SSU rRNA". It matches the Rfam family "Bacterial small subunit ribosomal RNA", at positions 30 to 503 of the family's 1533-position model. The record is from RNAcentral. Lineage: Bacteria; Pseudomonadati; Pseudomonadota; Gammaproteobacteria; Enterobacterales; Enterobacteriaceae.
AUUGAACGCUGGCGGCAGGCCUAACACAUGCAAGUCGAACGGUAACAGGAAGCAGCUUGCUGCUUUGCUGACGAGUGGCGGACGGGUGAGUAAUGUCUGGGAAACUGCCUGAUGGAGGGGGAUAACUACUGGAGACGGUAGCUAAUACCGCAUAACGUCGCAAGACCAAAGAGGGGGACCUUCGGGCCUCUUGCCAUCGGAUGUGCCCAGAUGGGAUUAGCUAGUAGGUGGGGUAACGGCUCACCUAGGCGACGAUCCCUAGCUGGUCUGAGAGGAUGACCAGCCACACUGGAACUGAGACACGGUCCAGACUCCUACGGGAGGCAGCAGUGGGGAAUAUUGCACAAUGGGCGCAAGCCUGAUGCAGCCAUGCCGCGUGUAUGAAGAAGGCCUUUCGGGUUGUAAAGUACUUUUCAGCGGGGAGGAAGGCGAUAAGGUUAAUAACCUUGUCGAUUGACGUUACCCGCAGAAGAAGCACCGCUAACCC